AGGAGUGAACGCUGGCGGCGUGCUUAACACAUGCAAGUCGAACGAGGGUUGCUGGUUGAAGUUUCGGAUGGAAACCGGUAAUUCCUAGUGGCGGACGGGUGAGUAACGCGUGGGGAACCUGCCCCGCUCCGGGGGAUACCAGCUGGAAACGGCUGUUAAUACCGCAUAAGCGCACAGCAUUGCAUGAUGCAGUGUGAAAAAACUCCGGUGGAACGGGAUGGCCCCGCGUCUGAUUAGCCAGUUGGCAGGGUAACGGCCUACCAAAGCGACGAUCAGUAGCCGGCCUGAGAGGGCGACCGGCCACAUUGGGACUGAGACACGGCCCAAACUCCUACGGGAGGCAGCAGUGGGGAAUAUUGCACAAUGGGGGAAACCCUGAUGCAGCCGACGCCGCGUGAGUGAGGAAGUAUUUCGGUAUGUAAAGCUCUAUCAGCAGGGAAGAAGAUGACGGUACCUGCACAAGAAGCCCCGGCUAACUACGUGCCAGCCGCAGC
RNAcentral lists this ribosomal RNA (494 nucleotides) under uncultured bacterium. RNAcentral describes it as "bacterial SSU rRNA". It matches the Rfam family "Bacterial small subunit ribosomal RNA", at positions 27 to 518 of the family's 1533-position model. The record is from RNAcentral.